ACCAAGUCCUCUGAGGUUGGGAAAUGCUGGAUAUUUGUCUGUCUGGCCAACCCAAAUUCAGCCUGGUGUUUGUGUGUUCUGCUGCGAUCUUCAGUUGCUUUCGUCAUGGAUACUUUCUUCCCCAGGGCCCUGAUUCUUAUGAAGUUAGAUCUGGUUACAAAAUCAACACUUUGAAAUUAGGAACUAUCAAACCUGGGGUUUCCCAAGUAUUCUUCAUUCUGCAACACUGCCCAUCCGCCCUUCUCCAUUUCGUGCCUAGCCUGAACACAAAGUAUGAGAAUUUAGAACAUCUGGGCAAAUGCGAAUCUGUUAUUUCCCAACUUCAGAAAGUUUGAUUUUGUCAGUGAUGCAAUCUCUGAAUGCUCUUUCUCUGUGCAGUGGAGGUGAACAGAUGCAGUUGAAAUGUUAAGCCAGAGCCCUUGCCUGACAUGUAGUUGAAUUGUUAAGGCAGAUCCCUUCCCAAAUGGCUCUCGUUUAUUGCAACAUGCUUGCUAAAUAUGACAAAGUUUUCUGCAUCAGCAGUGCCUUGCUGUGUCUGAGUGUGUUGAACCCAUCUCAAUAAAAGCUUUUUGACACAAGUGC
Molecule: long non-coding RNA, 582 nt
Organism: Melopsittacus undulatus (budgerigar)
Lineage: Eukaryota; Metazoa; Chordata; Aves; Psittaciformes; Psittaculidae
Exons: 2
Source: RefSeq, a predicted model, not a curated record